RNAcentral lists this long non-coding RNA (6649 nucleotides) under Portunus trituberculatus (swimming crab). Its description in RNAcentral is "uncharacterized LOC123501029". The record is from RNAcentral. Lineage: Eukaryota; Metazoa; Arthropoda; Malacostraca; Decapoda; Portunidae.
UCUCUCUCUCUCUCUCUCUCUCUCUCUCUCUCUCUCUCUCUCUCUCUCUCUCUCUCUCUCUCUCUCUCUCUCUCUCUCUCUCUCUCUCACCCCCCACAAGUUUGUAUUUAUAGAUUUAAGUCCCUCCCCCCUUAAUCUCUUCCUCAUUAUUAUUAUUAUUAUUAUUAUUAUUAUUAUUAUUAUUAUUCAUUGGUAUACAUACAUGUGCGUGUUUGUGUGUAUGUAUUGUGCGUAUGUGUGUAUGUAUACUUAGCUUUUGUUUAUGAGUUCACCAAAGAGGCUCAUGUGUGUGUGUGUGUGUGUGUGUUGAAACAUUUUUAUUGGAUUGUUUUAGUUUGUUCGUUCUCUCUCUCUCUCUCUCUCUCUCUCUCUCUCUCUCUCUCUCUCUCUCUCUCUCUCUCUCUCUCUCUCUCUGAUUUUGCUCAGAUUUUAUUUUUUUAGUGUUUUUUUUUCAUUUCAUUUCAUUUCCUUUUCUUUUAAUCUUGUUUCCUUUGCAUCAUUCAGUUUUAGAUCCUGUAUAUUGACAUUUUUAUUACUGUAUAUAUGUAUUAAUCUCCUCACUCUCACACACACACACACACACACACACACACACACACACACACACACACACACACACACACACAUAUAAGGUGCGUUUGUGUGUGUUCAGAAUUGUAGCAUUUAUUUACGUAUUGCAUUUAUAAUUUGUUCCUUCCUUCCUUCCUUCCUUUUUCCUUCUUUCUUCAUUCAUAAAUUCAUUUUUUCUUUUCUCUUUUCCUUCCUUCCUUCCUUCCUUCCUUCCUCGUCAUGUGCCAUAUUGAAGAACACAUAGACACACGCAUGUACGUUUUUCACCUUUAUUGUGUGUGUGUGUGUGUGUGUGUGUGUGUGUGUGUGUGUGUGUGUGUGUGUGUGUGUGUGUGUGUAGCCGUAUAACUUGCCUUUCCAUCGGUGUAUGUACGUUUGUAUAUAUGUGUGUGCUUUUAUUUACAUUAAUCUUUAUUUUUUCUCGUUUCUUUUUUUCUUUUCCUUUUUUUUUCUAAAACUAAUUUGAAUCUACAUAUGUAAAGUCUUAUAUUUUGGAAGGACUUUUGAUUCUGUAUAUUUUCUCUCUCUUCUCUCUCUCUCUCUCUCUCUCUCUCUCUCUCUCUCUCUCUCUCUCUCUCUCUCUCUCUCUCUCUCUCGCUCAUUUAUGUAAAGACUCGAGUGUAAAUAAUAAUAGUAACAUUUUUAGGCGUAACUUUUGAGCGAGGCGACGUAAACAGAGCAAGAUAGUAGUGUUUGUAACGGUGCAGCCAUCAUGUGUUUGUUUUGUUGCGAAAGACUGUGCUCUGUUUUACUCACACAAUAGUUGAGUAAAUAUCAAACACACACACACACACACACACACACAGAAUUUAAAUAUGUGACGUACUUAAAAGAUAUUUCACGUAGUGUUAAGUAUUGUUUGAAGUGACUAGUUGUGUGUUUAAACCUGUAAUAGUGUAAAGUACUCUCUCUCUCUCUCUCUCUCUCUCUCUCUCUCUCUCUCUCUCUCUCUCUCUCUCUCUCAUCAGUCAGUCAGUCAGUGCAUUCCCUUCCCGUCCAGUGUGCGUGUGUAUGUAUAUCUGUAUGUAUGCAUGUAUGUGUAUAUAUGUAUGUGUGUUUGUAUGUAUGUGUAUGUCAUUCCACUAAACAAUACACAAGAAGAACAAAUGGAACAAAAAAAACAAUGUUAAAGUCAUUCCACAUUGUUACGUUAAUCAGUGUCUUGGUGAGGUCACAGUGUUGGGGUCAGGUCACGGAAGGGUAGGGCAGGGCAGGGCUGGGUUUGUGGUGGAGAGGUUGUAUGCAGUGAGGGUGGGUUAGGUAGGGGGUUCAGCUUGGAUGGGUUUAGUGGGGUUGGGUUGUAUUGAUCUGGGUUUGUUGAAUUUAGUUGGGUUGGAUUAGGUUGGGUUAGGUUAGGUCUGGGCUGGGCUGGAUUGGGUUGCAUUUCAUCUGGUUUGGGUUUGUCUGAUCUGGGUUAGAUUGGGUUCAUCUGGUUUGGGGUGGGUUUGGUUCUAAUCUGGGUUCAUCUUGUCUGGGUUGGGUUGGGUUUCAUCUGAUGUAGGUUUAUCUUGUCUGGGUUAUGUUGGGUUCUUUUGGUCUAGGUUGGGUUGGGGUGGGUUCAUGUAGACUGGAUUUAAGUUAGGUUGGGUUGGGUUGGGUUCUGUUAUGAGUUGUUGAGAUUCCAUGUUGUCUUGUUGGCUUGUGUUUGAUUCACUCGUGUUUUUAUGGUUUUGUUAAAUUGAGGACAUUUUACCUUUUUGUUUUUAUAUAUUCUUUUUAUUUUUCAUUUUUUGCUUUAUUUAAUCUUUUUCAUGUGGUGGUGAAAGUACUUAAAAUUAUAUCCAUUUGGUGUUUGUUGGCCAUUGUUUUUAUAUAAUUUCCACACAUAUAUUUUCUAAUCAUCUUAUUUAUUUACUUAUCUUUCUAUACGUCACUUAAUUUAUAGAGAUUUUACGAAUUUCUUGGAUUUUAUAUGGUCACGUCUUUUAUUGAUAACAUAAAUUUUGAGGCUUUUAACAAACUUUCUUUAGUGUGUGUGUGUGUGUGUGUGUGUGUGUGACUGCGAUUGGUAACUAUGCAUUGUUUUUUUAUUAUUAAUUUUUUUUUUUAUGAAGUUUGUAUUGUUUUGGUUAUCAUUUUUACACCUAACAAUAACUGCAGAUUUGUUCACUGUUUGGUUUGUUUGCCCUGUGUUGUAUUCCUGACACUGAGGAUAUAGUUAUGAGCAUUGUUAAAGAUGUACAGCCUGGAGAGGGCGUGUGGUGAGGUGUGGUGUGGUGAUGAAAGCUUUGCCACACAUGCUUAGUGAUCUGGAAGAGUUGUGAUGUGGUGGUUUUAGUGUGUGGUGAUGAGAACUGUGAUUUGGUGUGGUGGUGAAAGCUUUGCCACAUUUUCACUGGUCCAGGAGAUUAUGAUAUGGUGUUGAUGUGAUGUGAGGUGUGGUGGUGAAAGCUUUGCCACAUUUUCACUGGUCCAGGAGAUUAUGAUAUGGUGUUGAUGUGAACUGUGGUGUGGUGUGAUGUUGAAAGCUUUGCCACACAUGUUUAGUAAUCCAGAAAAGUUGUGGUGUUAUGGUGGUUUUGAGUGUGUGGUAAUGAGAGGCGUGGUGUUGAGUUAUGGUGGUGUGGUGGUGUCCUGGUAGUAGUGGUAUGAUGAGAGGAAACACUUCACUUCAGUCUUACAAUGAAAAACUGUCACAUUUUUCAGUGUAACAAGCGUGAUAGAGGCUGUGUGGUGACAAGCAGGCCUUAUGUCUCAAAUACGUCCAUAUCAACUCAUAUUUAAACCUCACAUAUCACGUAAGUUCUCAUAAGAUUUGUAAGUAGUAUGUGUGGUUGUAGGUGCUGUGUUGUAAUGUUUGUGGCCUUAACUGUUGUAAGAUUGAAACUAAUUAUAACGACACAAAGCCUUAACUCCUUCAGUACUGGAAUGCAUUUUUACCUUGAGUUUUGGGUGUGAUUAGAUGAUUUUAUUGACACUAGGAAGGGUUUGUGGAGAUGAGAAGAUUAAUGGCUACAGUCUUCAGUAUUUUAAACCCUACAUAAGUUUCUGAAGCUGUAUAGAAUCACCAAAUAGUAAGCAGAAUAAUAUGGAAAUGCAGCAUGUACUGAAGGGGUUAAAGAUUACAAUAGUGUCAGGAUUUGAAAAGAUUGGAAUGUUCUGAUUUAUUAUCAAGAAAACAUUUGUGGCCUUCAAUACAGAAAACAUGUGAUUAAUGAUAGAACUGGAUGCCUUAAAAAUAACAAUAACCUUAUCAGAUUCUUUAAAAAUUUGAACAUUUUUGUACAGAAUUAUAAGAAAGACCUUAUACUAACCAAAACUUAACAAGAUUUCCAAAUAUCACAAAAUACACAAUGCCUCAAGAUACAUACAUGACCUCAAAAGACAAGCAUGUGUGUUUUGUUAGACGUUGCAAGCCCACAAGCUGUCAUGUCCCAAGAAAGCCUUACCAAUGUGCCUGAAAUGUGUGGUGAGACUCAGAACUUGUCAUCAUGUUCAGAAUUGUCAUAGAAAGUGUGUGUCUUCUGGAGUGUGUUAUGAGGUUCUGGGAGGCUGUGUAAUGGUUAGGCCUGUGUUCCAAGUGUUUUGUGAGUGUUAGGUUAUGCGAGACUGAUGUUUAGGUGUGAGUUCUAAGUAUGUUGUUAGUGUUUUGAAGUUCUGGGAGACAGUGUGAUGUUAGGCGUGUUUUAAGUGUGUUGUGAGUGUUUAAAAGAUUCUAGGAGACAUGGUGAAGUGUAUGUGUGUGUUGUAAGUGUGUUGUGAGUGUUAAAAGGUUCUAGGAGACUGAUGGUGAAGUGUGUGUGUGUGUGUGUGUGUUGUAAGUGUGUUGUGAGUGUUAAAAAGGUUCUAGGAGACUGUGAUUAUGAGAUGUCUGUUUUCUGAGUGUUGUGAGUGCUAUGAGGUUCUAGGAGACUGUGUAAUGGUGAGGUGUGUGUGUUCUAAGUGUUUUGAGGUUCUAGAAGACUUAUGGUGAGAAGAAAGUGUCCUGUGUGAAGCAAGUGUAAGUCACCCAGCUUGUGAAGAAUAGUGAUCUGAGUUAAUGUGUUGUGCGGUGUUGCUAGAUCAAGGUGUCGUGGGAUUGUAGAACUAAAAAAUGUGUAAUGGUUCUGAAUGUGUCUUGUUUCAAAGGCUAACUAAGUGUUUUAAAAGUGAAUGUUUGAGAAUGUAACCUUAUUUUGUAAUCUGAAUAAGUGAGACAGUGUUUUGAGAUGAAUAUUUGAGAAUGUGUCGUUUUGAAAUAUGAAUAAGGGAAAUACAGUGUUCCGAGAUUAAUGUUUGAGAAUGUAACUAUUUUGUAAUCUGAGUUAGCAGGCUCAGAUAUUACAAGACGAACAAGACACAGGGUUUUGAGAGUUAAUGUUUCAAAAUGUGAUGUUGCUUUGAGCUUUAUAGGAAAUUAUUUACAGACCAGAGUGUUGCAAGAAACAAAAUGUAAUGCUUGUGAACUAUUUAUAUGCAUUUUAAACCUUCUCACAGACUGAUAUUGAAAGAUCGUGUGUGUGGGUGUGUGUGUCUUGAAGGAUGAAAGGAUGUGAUGUUUGUGGUCUUGAAAUAUUUAGAAUUAUUGUGCAGACUGAUGUUGAAAAGUUUGAAGAUGAUAGUAAAUGAAAAUCAAGAAUGUCAUGUAUUUUAGACUCCAUUGCAGAGUGGAGUGUUGAGAGAUGAAAUAAUUGUGGUGCUAGGACGAAAAUAUGCCGCCAUGUUUGUGAAUGUUAAGCAGUAUUUUAACUUUCUACAAACUCGAAGAUAAUUGAGGUCACAUGACUAUUUUGAGCCAAGAUGUUAUGUAAUGUGAUGUGAUGUGAUGCUUGUCUAAGUACUGGAGCAUUAAGAGACUGGGAAAAGGUGUGUGUCCGAGUUUAUUUAUUUAUUCUUAUUUAUUUAUUUAUUUUUUUUCUAGCACACUUGAAUGCUGAAAGUUGAAGAAUUUUUUUUCUUUUCCAAGAUACGAUGCUUGGGAGUGUGGAUUUAUUUUUCAUCUGUUUUAUUUUAUUUAUUUUUAUUUUUACUCAAAUGUAGAAAUGUUAAGAAAAGACAUGAUUUUUUUUUUAGGAUGAGAUGAUUUGAUGUUCAGAAUACUUAUUUGUUUAUUUUAACUUUAUUUAUUUUUCACCUCAGACUCGAAAAAUGAAGGAUUAAAAAGAUACACAAUUUUCUAAGACUAAGAUGUUGAGGAUAAGAUUUUAUUAUUUUUUUUUCUUCUUCUUUCUCUCAAACACAAACGAUGAAAGAUAAAUAAAUGAUAGAAUAAACAAGAUAGAGUGUGAUGUUUGUGAUGUAAACCCGCCACAACAAACACUGGCGUGAUGUAGUAACUGACUGGCUGACGAGUGUUUACUAUCGUUAGCCUCGAACCAAUGCACUUACUAUCCUUUCUACUUAACUAUCAUUGACUACUCAUACUAUAUUUAACUAACAGGCUGCCUCUUGUGCGUGCUUGCGUUUGUGUGUAAGAGUGUACAUUCGCGUGUGUAUGAAUGUGUAUGUGUGUUAAUUUAAUGUACACACUGUAAUGCGACAUAGUACAAGUAUAAUGUGUAAAAUACUUCCACUUAGCAUAGCCUUGUAUGUACGUAUGUUUGUAAGUAUAGGUAUAGAAGUGAGCUAGUAGUGAAAGGACGAGGAGGAGGAGGAGGAGGGGGGGAGGAACAAGAGGUUAGGGUGAUGAAAGUGGAAGAGGAGGAGGAGCAGGAGGUGGUGAUGGUGGUGGUGGUUAAUCUAAUAAUGGUCACACACGUCACAAUUCCCCCCAUUAAUUCUGCCCCAUUUUCAUCAUUCUGUUCCUGCCCCAUUAGUUUUCUUUUUGUUUUAUUUAUUCGUUAUUAUUUUAUUUUUUUUUUUGUCUUGUUUGUUUCUCUCUCCAGUUUCAUCUAUUUCUCUUUCCAUUCCAUCUUACUUUUUUUUUUUUUAUUUGUUUCAUAUUUUUCUAUUAUAUUCCAGUUUUACGUUUUUUUUCCACAUUUUCAUUUAUUCUCGUUUUCUGUUUCACUUCUUAAAAAAUCCGCGUCCAUUUUCUUAUUUUAUUCAUUUUUUCAUUUUUUAUUUUAUUUUCUGCCUCCAUUUCGAGAGUUACGAGUGGCGCCAUUUUCUCUCUCUCUCUCUCUCUCUCUCUCUCUCUCUCUCUCUCUCUCUCUCUCUC